Molecule: ribosomal RNA, 1408 nt
Filed under: metagenome
Description: bacterial LSU rRNA
Rfam family: Bacterial large subunit ribosomal RNA
Source: RNAcentral
AAAAUCCGGGAUCACUUACGCCGAGCACCGAGACGAGUCCUAUGAGGACGAAGUGACUGACACCACGCUUCCAGGAAAAGCCACUAAGCUUCAGCUUAAGAAAAACCGUACCGCAAACCGACACAGGUAGGCAGGGUGAGAAUCCCAAGGCGCUUGAGAGAACUCGGGUGAAGGAACUAGGCAAAAUGGCACCGUAACUUCGGGAGAAGGUGCGCCCUUUGGUGUGGUCACGUGCGUGACUGAGCAUCGAAGGGUCGCAGUAACCUGGCCGCUGCGACUGUUUAUCAAAAACACAGCACUCUGCAAACACGAAAGUGGACGUAUAGGGUGUGACGCCUGCCCGGUGCUGGAAGGUUAAUUGAUGGGGUCAGCCGCAAGGCGAAGCUCUUGAUCGAAGCCCCAGUAAACGGCGGCCGUAACGAUAACGGUCCUAAGGUAGCGAAAUUCCUUGUCGGGUAAGUUCCGACCUGCACGAAUGGCGUAACGACAGCGGCGCUGUCUCCACCCGAGACUCAGUGAAAUUGAAAUCGCUGUGAAGAUGCAGCGUUCCCGCGGCAAGACGGAAAGACCCCGUGAACCUUUACUAUAGCUUUACACUGAACGUUGAGUUCUUCUGUGUAGGAUAGGUGGGAGGCUAUGAAACCAGGACGCUAGUUCUGGUGGAGCCAUCCUUGAAAUACCACCCUGAAGUGCUUGACGUUCUAACCUAGGCCCGUAAUCCGGGUCAGGGACCGUGUAUGGUGGGUAGUUUGACUGGGGCGGUCUCCUCCCAAAGAGUAACGGAGGAGCACGAAGGUACGCUCAGCGCGGUCGGACAUCGCGCACUGUGUGCAAAGGCAUAAGCGUGCUUGACUGCGAGAUCGACGGAUCAAGCAGGUACGAAAGUAGGUCUUAGUGAUCCGGUGGUUCUGUAUGGAAGGGCCAUCGCUCAACGGAUAAAAGGUACUCCGGGGAUAACAGGCUGAUACCGCCCAAGAGUUCAUAUCGACGGCGGUGUUUGGCACCUCGAUGUCGGCUCAUCACAUCCUGGGGCUGUAGCCGGUCCCAAGGGUAUGGCUGUUCGCCAUUUAAAGUGGUACGCGAGCUGGGUUCAGAACGUCGUGAGACAGUUCGGUCCCUAUCUGUCGUGGGCGUUGGAGAUUUGAGGGGGGCUGCUCCUAGUACGAGAGGACCGGAGUGGACGUUCCGCUGGUGUUCGGGUUGUCAUGCCCAUGGCAUUGCCCGGUAGCUACGAACGGAAGUGAUAACCGCUGAAAGCAUCUAAGCGGGAAGCACGCCCCAAGAUGAGAUCUCCCGAGAGCUUGACUCUCCUAGAGGCACCAUCAAGACUAGGUGGUUGAUAGGUCAGGUGUGGAAGCGCAGCAAUGCGUUGAGCUAACUGAUACUAAUGAGCCGUGAGGCUUGACCG